RNAcentral lists this unclassified non-coding RNA (963 nucleotides) under Zea mays. RNAcentral describes it as "misc RNA Zm00001eb091990". Lineage: Eukaryota; Viridiplantae; Streptophyta; Magnoliopsida; Poales; Poaceae. The record is from RNAcentral.
UCGGUGGCGCGCGGCGCGGCCAGGCCGGCUCCGAUGGCCUGCAGCUGGCGCGCCGCCGACCAGGUGCGGGACACGCUCCACGACAGCGAGCGUAAGUGCGCGGAGGGCGAGGCGCGGGACGGCGACGCCCGCGCGCGGCCGAAGGAGCGGUUGCGGUGGGACGCGAGGAACGAGGCGAGCCCGCCGCCGGCGCCCGCGGAGGCGGCGGCGGCAUCGUCGGCGAGGAGCAGGGAAAGGUCCGAGAGCGCCUUCCGCGCGCGCCAGAGCUGGCCCUCGUGCACCUGCCCCUCGGCGGGCGCCAGCAGUGCGGAGGCCGCCAGCCCCGCGAGGCGCUCCCAGCGGCGGGCCUGGUCCACGCCGUCGCGCGCCGCGUUGCAGACGUCGAGCGCCCUGACGGCGCGCUCGCCGACCUCCGCCACCAGCUUCUCCGCGUCCGCGGGGGCCGUGACCCCGCCGCCGCGGCGCCGCGCCUCGGCCACCGCCGCCCGGAACUCCUCCUGGCACAGCAGGAACGCCUCCAGCAGGCGCCGGACCCACGCGACGGACAUGAACUCCUCCCCGCCGGGCGCGCUCAGGCCCGCAAGGCGCACAGCGACAUGGGCGUGGAAGUCCCCGAGCUCCGGGCCGGCGCCGCGCGGCGGCGGCAUCGCGGCCGCCGGGGCGUCGCGGCGGAGGGAGAGGAGCGUGCGGCCGAACGAGGGGAACGGGGACGAGUGGGCGUGCGUCGACGGGGAGGAGCCCUGGAGGUCCGUGGCCGGCAUGGUGUCGGUCUCGGCGUCGGCGGACGAAUCGAAGCGCGGAUCUUGGACAGGGAAUGGCCGACAGCGUUGUGGUGGGGUCGGUGGGGCUUUGGCUCAGUGGGUCCGUGGGCGCAUGGCGGCCCAGCUCAGCUCAACUCGAGCAGGCGUUUUUCCGGUGAGAUUGCGUGGGGGGAUGGCGGUGGUGGAUGAGUGAAUGGUGAUG